GGUCUGAGAGGAUGAUCCGCCACACUGGGACUGAGACACGGCCCAGACUCCUACGGGAGGCAACAGUGGGGAAUUUUGGACAAUGGGCGCAAGCCUGAUCCAGCCAUGCCGCGUGUCUGAAGAAGGCCUUCGGGUUGUAAAGGACUUUUGUCCGGGAGCAAAUCCCAGUGGUUAAUACCUACUGGGGCUGAGAGUACCGGAAGAAUAAGCACCGGCUAACUACGUGCCAGCAGCCGCGGUAAUACGUAGGGUGCAAGCGUUAAUCGGAAUUACUGGGCGUAAAGCGUGCGCAGGCGGUUGUGCAAGUCUGAUGUGAAAGCCCCGGGCUUAACCUGGGAACGGCAUUGGAGACUG
This 354-nucleotide ribosomal RNA is filed under the name bacterium LimC-100-J-125. RNAcentral's name for it is "bacterial SSU rRNA". It matches the Rfam family "Bacterial small subunit ribosomal RNA", at positions 289 to 635 of the family's 1533-position model. The record is from RNAcentral.